GUCUACGGCCAUGCUACCCUGAACAAGCCCGAUUCCAUCUGAUCUCAGAAGCUAAGCAGGGUCAGGCCUGGUUAGUACUUGGAUGAGAGACCACCUAGGAAGACCAGGUGCUGUGGCAU
RNAcentral lists this ribosomal RNA (119 nucleotides) under Pteropus alecto (black flying fox). The record is from RNAcentral. Lineage: Eukaryota; Metazoa; Chordata; Mammalia; Chiroptera; Pteropodidae.